AGCUCUGGUGCCCUACGUCCGCGAUUGGAGUAAGGAAGCCCCUUCCUACACACACACACACAACAAAAAACGAAGCGUACAUUUUUGUGUGUCGCCGUCAUCCUCGUUAGCAGCGGGCCAUCUCCCAGCAAGCGACGCAAAAGCGGGCGUUCCUCCCCCUCCCCCCGGCCUACCACACCCACGGGGUAGACACAGCGAUGCGCUGGAGAUGAUCAAGGCAGUUCUCAUCAUCAACACGGCAGGCAAGAUCCGGUUGCUGAGCUUCUACGAGAAGACCAUCUCCCUCGCGCAGCAGCAGGAGCUGGUGCGCAGCAUCCAUCGCGCCAUCGCCCGCCGCGGCGAUGAGCUCUGCAACUUCGUUGACAACUUCAAGGAGUGGCCCACCCCGGACACCCGCGUCAUCUACCGCCGCUACGCAACCUUGUGCUUUGUGUUCGUGACGGACUCAUCGGAAUCGCAGCUGGCCAUCCUCGAUCUUAUUCAGGUCUUCGUCGAGUCCCUCGACCGCACGUUUGAAAACGUGUGCGAGCUAGACCUGAUUUUCCACUCGGAGAAGGUGCAGUACACGCUGAUGGAGAUGAUCAUGGGUGGCAUGGUGCUGGAGAUGUCGCGUGACGAAAUCAUCCACAGCUUGGGAGAGAUGAACCGGCUCAGCGCCAAUACUGUCGCAGAGAACAGCACGUCUCGCACCCUGUCCGGCUACCACUGACGCCUUCAUUGUGGCAUCCUCAGGCAUCCCCUGACACACACGCAGCUGAGGUCUCCCGCACGCUCUCGGAGGACAGGGACGCGUGCGUGCCUACACACACUCACGCACGCCCUCCUUCUUACCUUCCCCUUUCACAGCUGCUCCGUUCAUCGGCAGUGGCGUAGUCGCGUGUGCCUUGGGCGCUUUUU
RNAcentral lists this unclassified non-coding RNA (897 nucleotides) under Leishmania donovani. RNAcentral describes it as "gene:LdHU3.24.1950(CDS-product:adaptor_complex_AP -3_small_subunit_putative)". Lineage: Eukaryota; Euglenozoa; Kinetoplastea; Trypanosomatida; Trypanosomatidae. The record is from RNAcentral.